GCGCGUGUAGUUCAGUGGUAGAACGCUUCUCUGAUAAAGAAGAGGUCGGAGGUUCGAUCCCUCCCACGCGCA
RNAcentral lists this transfer RNA (72 nucleotides) under Parcubacteria bacterium DG_74_2. RNAcentral's name for it is "tRNA-Ile". It matches the Rfam family "tRNA". Rfam says of the family: Transfer RNA (tRNA) molecules are approximately 80 nucleotides in length. Their secondary structure includes four short double-helical elements and three loops (D, anti-codon, and T loops). RNAcentral also lists the same sequence under 1 other name. Lineage: Bacteria; Candidatus Parcubacteria. The record is from RNAcentral.